UACGAAGGGGGCUAGCGUUGCUCGGAAUCACUGGGCGUAAAGCGCACGUAGGCGGAUUGCUAAGUCAGGGGUGAAAUCCUGGAGCUCAACUCCAGAACUGCCUUUGAUACUGGCGAUCUCGAGUCCGGGAGAGGUGAGUGGAACUGCGAGUGUAGAGGUGAAAUUCGUAGAUAUUCGCAAGAACACCCGUGGCGAAGGCGGCUCUCUGGGACGGUACUGACGCUGAGACGCGAAAGCGUGGGGAGCGAACAGG
This 253-nucleotide ribosomal RNA is filed under the name uncultured bacterium. RNAcentral describes it as "partial 16S ribosomal RNA". It matches the Rfam family "Bacterial small subunit ribosomal RNA", at positions 524 to 776 of the family's 1533-position model. The record is from RNAcentral.